Molecule: long non-coding RNA, 246 nt
Filed under: Mytilus galloprovincialis (Mediterranean mussel)
Lineage: Eukaryota; Metazoa; Mollusca; Bivalvia; Mytilida; Mytilidae
Source: RNAcentral
AAACAAGAGGCUCUCAAGAGCCUGAAUCGCUCACCUGGUAAACAACGCCUUAUUGAACAUAUUGAACCAUGCCAGGCAAACAUGUACAGCUAACAAUUCUUCAAUAUUACAAAUAUAUAUGACUUACUGUUUAUAAAUAAAGAAAAUAGACCAAACACAACACUUAAAACUUAGCAAUGGACUGUGAAAAUGAGGUCAAAUUCAAAUAAAACCUGCGUAACCGACAUAUAGAUCAUAAAAUAUUUU